Molecule: long non-coding RNA, 498 nt
Filed under: Mytilus galloprovincialis (Mediterranean mussel)
Lineage: Eukaryota; Metazoa; Mollusca; Bivalvia; Mytilida; Mytilidae
Source: RNAcentral
CAAACGCAAAAGUGAUCCUUUUUUUAUUUCCCAUAAUUCUUACUACACUACAUGCAACUUCCUUUUUUGCCUCAAAUAUAGCCGAAAUGGCAGUUGGAAAGAAUAAGAGGCUUACUAAAGGUGGCAAGAAGGGUGGAAAAAAGAAAGUGUGCGUAUUUAAAGUAUCAAUUGUUCAUAAAUGAAUGUGUUAAGAAAGAGAAUAAAGAUCCCCGGUGUACUGAUGAUACGAUGUUAAACUGAUUUUUAUUCGAUUGGUCUUCAUCAUGCCCAAAGUUGUCGUUCAUCCCUGAUUAAACACACAUGACUCGCUCACAUUAUUGUUUAACCUUAACCGAUAGAUGAAUUACACAAGCAAAUUAGUACACAUGUUUUGUGGUUUGAAGAACUAGCUCAUAUAAAUAAUGGGAAUACUUGUAAAUUGACCGCAGCCGUCCCGUCAGGAUGUUUUUACCUUGCUUUAUUUAGAAUGUAGAGCACAAAAAGUUCCCAUACGUUUAA